UACGGGGGGGGCAAGCGUUGUUCGGAAUUACUGGGCGUAAAGGGCUCGUAGGCGGCCAACUAAGUCAGACGUGAAAUCCCUCGGCUUAACCGAGGAACUGCCCUCCAAACUGCUUGGCUUGAGUCCGGGAGAGGUGAGUGGAAUUCCCAGUGUAGCGGUGAAAUGCGUAGAUAUUGGGAGGAACACCAGUGGCGAAGGCGGCUCACUGGACCGGAACUGACGCUGAGGCGCGAAAGCGUGGGGAGCGAACAGG
Molecule: ribosomal RNA, 253 nt
Filed under: uncultured bacterium
Lineage: Bacteria
Description: partial 16S ribosomal RNA
Rfam family: Bacterial small subunit ribosomal RNA
Source: RNAcentral